AUGCGGAGCCUAGCGGGAGCAUGUGGGACGGCCACGCAAGAGGUUGGCGUGUCCUUGACAGGUGCUCGGGCUUGUGGAGGAGGGGCCGAGUAUAGAGGGGAAGGACAUCGAGAAUCAGCAUCAGCGCCAUCAAUUUGGUACUCAGAGAGGAAGAAGAAAGGGACUGCAGCUCAUACAUGCAGUACGCAUAACACAGGUAAUUUCCUCUUCUUCUUGUACCAUUCCCGUCUCAUGCGUGUUAAAUUCAGAGAAGGAGAGCUAGUAGCAAUUCCAUUACUCUCCUUUCAUUCAGUUAAGAUGUGUGUUAAAUUCAGAGAAGGGAGAGCUAAUAGCAAUUCCAGUACUCUGCUUUCAUUCAGUUAA
RNAcentral lists this ribosomal RNA (363 nucleotides) under Triticum aestivum (bread wheat). Its description in RNAcentral is "partial small subunit ribosomal RNA". Lineage: Eukaryota; Viridiplantae; Streptophyta; Magnoliopsida; Poales; Poaceae. The record is from RNAcentral.